This 253-nucleotide ribosomal RNA is filed under the name uncultured bacterium. RNAcentral's name for it is "partial 16S ribosomal RNA". It matches the Rfam family "Bacterial small subunit ribosomal RNA", at positions 524 to 776 of the family's 1533-position model. The record is from RNAcentral.
UACCGAGGUCCCAAGCGUUGUUCGGAUUCACUGGGCGUAAAGGGUGCGUAGGUGGUGAGGUAAGUCGGAUGUGAAAGCUCGGAGCUCAACUCCGAAAUGGCAUUGGAAACUACCUUGCUAGAGGGUUGGAGGGGGGACUGGAAUACUUGGUGUAGCAGUGAAAUGCGUAGAUAUCAAGUGGAACACCAGUGGCGAAGGCGAGUCCCUGGACAACUCCUGACACUGAGGCACGAAAGCUAGGGGAGCAAACAGG